This 253-nucleotide ribosomal RNA is filed under the name uncultured bacterium. Its description in RNAcentral is "partial 16S ribosomal RNA". It matches the Rfam family "Bacterial small subunit ribosomal RNA", at positions 524 to 776 of the family's 1533-position model. The record is from RNAcentral.
UACAGAGGUCUCAAGCGUUGUUCGGAUUCAUUGGGCGUAAAGGGUGCGUAGGCGGCGCGGUAAGUCGGGUGUGAAAUCUCGGAGCUUAACUCCGAAACUGCAUUCGAUACUGCCGUGCUUGAGGACUGGAGAGGAGACUGGAAUUUACGGUGUAGCGGUGAAAUGCGUAGAUAUCGUAAGGAAGACCAGUGGCGAAGGCGGCUCUCUGGGACGGUACUGACGCUGAGACGCGAAAGCGUGGGGAGCGAACAGG